This 468-nucleotide ribosomal RNA is filed under the name uncultured bacterium. Its description in RNAcentral is "partial 16S ribosomal RNA". It matches the Rfam family "Bacterial small subunit ribosomal RNA", at positions 28 to 507 of the family's 1533-position model. The record is from RNAcentral.
GACGAACGCUGGCGGCGUGCUUAACACAUGCCAGUCGAACGGAAAGGCCCUGCUUUUGUGGGGUGCUCGAGUGGCGAACGGGUGAGUAACACGUGAGUAACCUGCCCUUGACUUUGGGAUAACUUCAGGAAACUGGGGCUAAUACCGGAUAGGAGCUCCUGCUGCAUGGUGGGGGUUGGAAAGUUUCGGCGGUUGGGGAUGGACUCGCGGCUUAUCAGCUUGUUGGUGGGGUAGUGGCUUACCAAGGCUUUGACGGGUAGCCGGCCUGAGAGGGUGACCGGCCACAUUGGGACUGAGAUACGGCCCAGACUCCUACGGGAGGCAGCAGUGGGGAAUAUUGCACGAUGGGCGGAAGCCUGAUGCAGCAACGCCGCGUGCGGGAUGACGGCCGUCGGGUUGUAAACCGCUUGCGCCUGUGACGAAGCGUGAGUGACGGUAAUGGGUAAAGAAGCACCGGCUAACUACGUG